This is an RNA transcript of Phalaenopsis equestris, 1675 nucleotides long. It is a transcript of the gene named RNA pseudouridine synthase 7, with no coding region annotated. The record is from RefSeq and is a predicted model, not a curated record. The transcript is spliced from 14 exons. Lineage: Eukaryota; Viridiplantae; Streptophyta; Magnoliopsida; Asparagales; Orchidaceae.
UCUUUUUUGAGAUCAACGUGGUCUAGUGCUGAUGGCAGCGAUCAUAUGGCAAACACCUGCGAACGGGCCAGAGGCGAAAGAUUUCGUCUUCCUCAACGAUGGUGGAAUUCACUCCGCAGGCAAGCGUUAUGUUAGGCCUUAUUACUUUGAGUUCAUCUCCCACGUUAAAAAUAGAUGGGCGGGGAAGGCAAUUGUUGAUCUUUUUACCGAGGAGUUCAGAGGAAGAUCUUAUGAGUAUUAUGAAAGUGCUGUCAAAUGUGGACGGAUUCAAGUGGAUGAUAAAAUUGUUCCAGUGUCAUAUGUUGUUCGAUCAACUCAGAAGAUAAGCCACUUUGUGCAUAGGCAUGAACCUCCGGUGCUGGCUGGAAAUGUUUCAAUUCUCCACAUUGAAUCUGAUGUCAUAACCGUAUGCAAGCCUGCUUCUAUUCCAGUUCAUCCAUGUGGCCAGUAUCGUAAAAAUACGAUCAUUGGGAUUCUCCAGGCAGAACAUGACUUUGCCCCUUUGUUUCCUAUUCAUCGGCUUGAUCGUCUUGUUUCGGGUCUACUUAUUUUUGCUCGAAGUGCUGACAAAGCGGAGCAGUUUCGGCAACAGAUUGAUGCUGGCUUACUCAAUAAAGAGUACAUUGCGAGGGUCAUUGGGAUUUUCCCUGAAGAAGAGCAAGUUGUUGAUGCAAAUGUAAAUUAUGAUGCACGGGAAGGAAGGAGCUCAGUGGAGGUUGUAGAACAAAUGGAUAUUGCUUUGGAGGGAAAGGCUGCAUGCACAAGAUUCUUAAGAAUCAGUACGAAUGGAACUCAUAGUGUGGUCUUAUGUAAACCUGUUACUGGUCGUACUCAUCAGAUACGUGUUCAUCUCCAACAUUGCGGGCAUCCAAUAGCUAAUGAUGAUCUAUACCUCUCCAAGACUGUCACACCUCGUUCUGCUCGGGGAACUGGUGCUAAUAGAACAGCUUCUAUUCACAAGCAUCAACCGUUACUUUCUGAUUCUACCAUUAGCGAGAAUCAUAAUCCAGAUGCUGAUCACGUAGAUUUCAGUAUAGAUCCAAUGUGCACCAACUGCCCAUCUCUUUCUCCUAAAGGCUAUGGUGGAGAUGAGGAAGGCCUUUGGCUUCAUUGCUUGCGAUACUCAGGGCCUAACUGGAGCUAUGAAUGUCCUAGUCCUGAUUGGGCUGUUCUAAGUUAACAAAUUGUGAACUCGGAUGUUCUAAUCCUCUCUCUGCUGCUUCUCAUGGAACUAACUACAGAAAAACUGGGCUUAGGAUCAAAUUUGAAGCUACAAGUCUACAGAAGCCUGCACCGGUGCUUGUGUGACACCUGAUUUGGGGUUGACCACUCCUGAUCUGGGCGUGAUCGCGCCAGUUUCAGACAUGACCAUGCUAAUUUCAAGAGAGUUCACGCCGGCAGACCACCAAAGCCUGUUUUGGAAGGUAGUUUCAUGCCUAUUUUUUCUGUAUAUUUAAAAGGAGAGGCUGAGAAAUGAAUAGAGUGUGAUCUUUUGGAGAGGAGAGAUUUGGAGAAGGCUUAGGCACUAAAGUUGAGAGUUUUUUAGAGUAUUUCUUAGGCUUUACUUCCUCUAUUGGGGAUGAGGUCUUAUCAGUUUUUUUUACAUUUUCCUUUGUAUUUUCCUAUAUUUUCUAAGAGGCUAUUGUAUGUGAGUGGAGUUGGCUGUUGUGUAAGA